AAUUUGAAUAGCUUAAUUAGAGCAUUAUAUUGAAGAUAUAAAGGUAAUAUUAAUAUUUUUAAAU
RNAcentral lists this transfer RNA (64 nucleotides) under Pterocomma pilosum. Its description in RNAcentral is "tRNA-Phe". The record is from RNAcentral. Lineage: Eukaryota; Metazoa; Arthropoda; Insecta; Hemiptera; Aphididae.